Molecule: long non-coding RNA, 329 nt
Filed under: Bos indicus x Bos taurus (hybrid cattle)
Lineage: Eukaryota; Metazoa; Chordata; Mammalia; Artiodactyla; Bovidae
Description: lncRNA (ENSBIXG00005009103.1)
Source: RNAcentral
AUGUGAAUGCAUGUAUUUAGCCAGUCAACUGGAAGGCCUUUUACAGUGCUUAUUUUGAGAUCAUGGGCCUUUUAAAAUAAGCAAAUUAAGUAUAUGAAUUCUUUCUAUCCAGAAGCCAUCUGAGCAUCUGCUUCAAGACCCACCUGACCCUGUUGCUGGCAUACAUAAAUGUUGGGACUUGGAUGAUGUGGGAGCACGGAGAUCAUGGAGAUCUGCUCCAUGGUACAGGAAAACAGGAGGAAGGACCGUCUUACAACACGUGCGGAUCAAAUUAACAUAUGAACAUCAUUACAAACGAUGACAUGUUUUGGAAUUUUAGCAUCCCUUUG